Molecule: long non-coding RNA, 4457 nt
Organism: Triticum dicoccoides
Lineage: Eukaryota; Viridiplantae; Streptophyta; Magnoliopsida; Poales; Poaceae
Exons: 4
Source: RefSeq, a predicted model, not a curated record
CACGUUUUUACUCAUCAUCCCUUCCUCACGAAGCAAACCCCAUAUCCCUCCUCUUCCGUCUCUCUGGCACACGUAGCAUCCGCAUCUCUCUCGUCGCCUCCGCCCCUUCUCCUCCCCGUUCCUCUCUCCUAGCCGAGCUCCGGCCUUGCUCGUCAUCCCUUCCUCUUGAGAAAGAGUACGGGCCCAUCGUUGCGCCUCAGUCGCCACAAGGACAUCGGGUGGAGGGGAUCCGGUGCGAACGACGCACAUCUCGGCCCCGUAGCAGGAGCGGGAGGUGUCGGCGGCGGAGAUGGUCGAUGUGGAGCCUCUUUUUCCCGCGAUCUGGUCCUCCCCAUUCAUGGCCAUUGGCAGGAGGGUCCCCUCGGAUUUAUUCCAUCCUCGGAGGUGGCAACCGCCCUAGGAGGGGCGGUGCACGGGCACGGCUAUCUUGGUGGUCGUGAUGUUGUUCCGCAACUGGUUCGCCUUCGGGUCGGCGCCACAGAUGAGGCCUGCUGUUGCGACCUUGCCCUCGUUCCCGCGGCGACGGACUACCCCCCAAGAUGAAUGGCUCUUCAAGUCGAAGCCACGGACCAUGCCAUGCGCCAGCUCGUCAUCUAUGUCGACCUCCACUCUGGCUCACGUGGCUCCGACGCCAAGCGGGAGGAGAAGGGUAAUGCCCAGCUCAUUUGAUGGGUCACUUGACUUCUUUACGGUUAUGCCACCUAAUCCGUUGGAUAUAUCCAAGGAUGAGGAGCACUGCUUAUUGUCCCUUUUAGUUGAGUAUUUAGAGCAAUGUGAGGGACAUUGGGACCCAGGGAGAGUUCCAGAAUCAAUGUACAAGCAUUUGCAACUACUGCUUCAUAUCAUGUUGCAUUUACAAAUUAAUAUCAUCUGUGAGCAAGCGUACAUUUUGGUGAAAGCUGUUGUGGCAAGUUCUGGUGCGUUUGACGAGAAUUUUGCGGAGAUUGAUGCAUGGUUUGGUUUUCUUGCCUGGUUAUGAAGCCAAAAUUGUGUGUAGAGCCUAGAAGUUCAAUCCUCUAAUAAAUUGUCACACAUUGUGAUCCCUUUCAUCUGCGAUGUUGUCUCAGUGGUUGGGAACAAUCUGUACAAAUACCAAGAGCACAUGCGGAAGUUCAUCUUUAAAUCAGGCCAACUUGAAGGGAGGCAUGUUGUGGAAGCAUCAGGUUGAAGGCUUGUGCUAAGUGGGAGAUAUGGUGAAAGCGGGAAAGGGGAAAGGCUCCAGAUUGUUGGAUUUGGACUCUGCAUGGAAAAUGUUUGUCGGCCUGACAGGCUAGGAUUGGGCACUUCUCCGGGUUGCUCUUUGCUUAUACAGGCAAAAAGUUAUAUCGCAUUUCCACCGACUACAGUUCAUCUCUACAUUCUAGCAAGUUUCUCUAUGAAGAUUUGGGUUGUUAGUGAUGUUCAAGUCCAAUGGUAUCCUGUAUAAAUGCACUGCUAUGUUGGUUUCCUCAAUCCAGAUAGUUGCAUGGGUGUAGUCACUUGUGUAUAAGCAACAAAAUAUAUUGCACUCCCACUGAUCAUAGUGCAUCUCUACAUUCUCAGCAGGCAUGACAUACCACACUUCUUGAAAAACUACUUACAUAAACAUAUUAAGGCACGCAUACAUUUCAGUUUUGACACAUUUGGUUUGCAGCAUGCUGAUGUUGUUGAUCACGGAUGGAGCCAUUGCGCUGCUCUCUUUGGCAAUCUCAUGGCUUCUCACACUACAGGAAACAACUAAUUUGCCUUCAGGGGUCGUCUUUGCCGCCAGCUUUCCGUUGGGUAGAUGUCAAAGAAAAGGUUUGCCGUCCUCUGCAGACGACAAAGAAAAACUGACUGCAAAAUAGCCUUUGCCAUCUACCGAAAAAAAACACAGACGACAAAGAGCUACCAUAUAUGAAUAAGCACUUAAGCAGUUCUGGGUCGUACGUUUCCUUGACCGCAUGCUUUUCCUUCACCGAGUACGUUUCCUUAGCAUGUCCACCUAUGCAUUAUUGGAUUUUAUAUUUAAACAAAACAAAAUCUCUUUGCCGUUUGUGGGUUCGAGGAUGAUGGCAAAGAUGGAGUAAACUGACGGUAAAGACGAAAUCGCCUGACAGCAAAAGAUGCAAACUUUGCUGUCUGUUAUUUUUUGGCAGACGGUAAACUGUAGUUUGGCUGACGACAAAAUCUUUGUCGUUUGUCCGAUAAAAAGUUGACGGCAAAGUAUUCUUUGCCGAUUUAGCCUUUGCCGACACACUUUGCCGUCAACCAGCUGACAGCAAAUUCUUUGCCGUCUGUAAUACUGCCUUUGUCGUCUGUACAAGCCUGACGGCAAACUAGCUAUUUCCUGUAGUGUCAGGGUUGAGUGAGGCAAAGAGCCCUCGAUGUGCAGCUCUUGCCUCUCUUCUAUUGCACCAUCCAUCACAGAGCAGGUCAAACGCUCAGCCAGCAUAACCAUGUUAAGGAAGGGCACCAUAUAUCUUUCCAAUAUUCAGUUAAAAAAACUUUUCUUGCAUAAAUGUUGUUGGGAUGUUUCUGAGGUAAGAUACGUACCUUGGAUAUGAUACUCACUUUGCUGGGUCUCAUGUACGAAUAUUAUUUCCACAGUAACACAUUUUCUUGUCCUCUGUGCACAUUGAUACAUUGUCGGUCCCUGAUUUUGGUGAAUACUGAUUAUGUCUUCGCUUUUGUACUACUGUUCAAGUUAUAAAUCAUCUCUGGGCCUAAUCUAUUAUUUUAUAUUAUCAGAUCAAAACAAUUGUCUUCCGAUUUAUCCAUUUGGGAAUCAAUUCUUGGAAAUUUCCUGUUGGAAUUCUUUUGGUUUCCCUUUAUUGUCUUCAGACCUCUCCUUCUCCAUCACCUCCGUUGUUUGCUUCAAAAACAGUAAUCACAUGCCAGCCUCUUAUGGUGUGUCUUCUUCAACAUUAACAAUAAAAUCUAAUAUUCAACUUUUCUAUCUGAUUAAAUAUUGCCUGUAAUUUUGCAUUUUAGAUAAGAAUUGCCUCAUUCUUAAUUGAUGGAGUUGCGCCUCACAGUGCCACAUUUGCUGACUCCUCAGUUAACAGUUUGUCGUGUACUCUCAAAGAGUUUGAUCUAUUAGUUCCAUUUGAUGCUGAAGAAAUGUGAAGUGCAGUGCAACUAGGACCGCUUGCUCCGAGUAAUCAUUUUCAGCAGCAAGACUUCAUGUAGAGGACCUACACUUUUGUGAAUCACCAUAGGCAAAGUGUACACGGCUAAACCUUGACAAAGAUACCCCUUGCUUCCUUUUUAGAUAUACAUAGCGUUAAGAUUGUUCUUUUUUUUUGCUGAAUUCGAUUACUUUUGAACAAGCCACCGUAUGUAAUGUAGCUUCUAUAUAACCUUCUGCCACUUUCCUAAGUUUGAUCUGCUUCUAAAUCCAUGGUUUGUCCUGGCUUACUGUUGCCUAAUAUGCACGUGAUGGUAUAAACAGGACAGUGAAAGGGGCGCCUCACAAUUUAGUGAUUACUGGUUGCGUGUCGAAGCCAGUGAGUUCUCUUAUCUUUAUAUCUAAAACAUAAAGGAGCACCAAAUUUUUGAAGGCUAAUUGGCUAAUUAAUCAGAAGGAGAGAAGAAAGUGAAAUAAUAUUUUGUUUGUAAAAUAUUGCAGCAUGCAUCUUUAUGCUUUUGUUUUUGAUCAACAUGUGUUCCAUGGCUUUAUGGCAGUUUUGAAAGUGAUAUGCUUGUCUUUUAGGGUGUUACUAUGGGGCGGAGGAAAGGAGAGGAGAGAGGAAAUAUUUGAAAGUGAUAUGCUUGCCUUUUAGGGUGUUACUAUGGGGCGGAGGAAAGGAGAGGAGAGAUCAAGGUGCCGUUUGCAAGCGAUGAAAAACUUACAUGUAUGAAUAGUUUCACGUCUCAAUAUUUCCAUACAAGCCCUCAAAGCGCCCUUUCCAUAUUUACAUACAAAAGGAUCAUUGCCAAGCAAAGAUGACUUGACUCCAUUUCUGGCACACUCAUCUUAGUUAAUUGUGAAUUAUGAAACUGUUUUUCACAUGAGAUAUAUUGACUACAAAAAACGUUGAACAACUCUAUGACUUAUUUUUAAACAGGGGAAAUAUGUCAUGAGAUGAAUUCUUGGCGCAGGUCGAGUAGUUCAGAAAGGAUCUAUGGGAGAUUCAUGGAAGUCAUGCUGGAAAGAGGCGAAUUCUAUGCCAACCCUGCUGCGUGUAUAUAUGUGAAGAGACUAAAGAUGGCCCCUCUACUGCACGAGAGAAGAAUUCCAAAGAUGAUCCCACCGGGACAGAAGAGGUGAUUGAUAUUGGGGCUGGCGGUGAUUCUUUGGUCAGAUUGGAGGUUUUGAGCUGGAAGUCAUCCUGAUUAGUUGUUAUAUAUUGCAGCUCAGAGGAAUUAGUUAAGUUAUCUGCAUACUAGUGGUGUAUGUGGUAUACUAAAGAUUCAGAGAAUUUCUGAUUUUAUUUGGAUGGAAUGUGGUUUAUGCAUGAACUGUGCUUCUUAAUAUACUGGAUCUUAUUUUGGCU